Molecule: ribosomal RNA, 253 nt
Filed under: uncultured bacterium
Lineage: Bacteria
Description: partial 16S ribosomal RNA
Rfam family: Bacterial small subunit ribosomal RNA
Source: RNAcentral
UACGUAGGGUGCAAGCGUUGUCCGGAAUUAUUGGGCGUAAAGAGCUCGUAGGCGGUCUGUCGCGUCGAAUGUGAAAACCCGGGGCUCAACCCCGGGCCUGCAUUCGAUACGGGCAGACUAGAGUGCGGUAGGGGAGACUGGAAUUCCUGGUGUAGCGGUGAAAUGCGCAGAUAUCAGGAGGAACACCGGUGGCGAAGGCGGGUCUCUGGGCCGUAACUGACGCUGAGGAGCGAAAGCGUGGGGAGCGAACAGG